This 254-nucleotide ribosomal RNA is filed under the name uncultured bacterium. RNAcentral describes it as "partial 16S ribosomal RNA". It matches the Rfam family "Bacterial small subunit ribosomal RNA", at positions 524 to 776 of the family's 1533-position model. The record is from RNAcentral.
GACGAACCGUGCGAACGUUAUUCGGAAUCACUGGGCUUAAAGCGCGUGUAGGCGGGACGGCACGUCGGUCGCUGAAGGCCCCCGGCUCAACCGGGGAACGGGCGCCGAUACGACCGGCCUGGAGGGACGUAGGGGGACCUGGAACUUCCGGUGGAGCGGUGAAAUGCGUUGAGAUCGGAAGGAACGCCCGUGGCGAAAGCGAGGUCCUGGACGUUUUCUGACGCUGAUGCGCGAAAGCCAGGGGAGCAAACGGG